This 74-nucleotide transfer RNA is filed under the name Spirochaetes bacterium GWB1_59_5. Its description in RNAcentral is "tRNA-Leu". It matches the Rfam family "tRNA". From Rfam's summary of the family: Transfer RNA (tRNA) molecules are approximately 80 nucleotides in length. Lineage: Bacteria; Pseudomonadati; Spirochaetota. The record is from RNAcentral.
GCCGUGGUGAUGCAACUGGCAGACAUGGCUGACUCAAAACCAGCCUCCUGUGGGUUCGAAUCCCACACACGGUA